UCGAUUUAUCAGGAUUUAUCAGAUUAUCUGGAGUUAGAGAGCUCUGAGAAUGCUGAGGGAGACCAGAAACACCCUCCACAACUGCUCUAAACACAGAGGCUGAAUACCAGCCAGCUGCCUUCCAGAUCAUCAGCUUCCAAGAUCUUCAUGGUGCUGGACUCCAAUCAAGUACACCAAUGGGUAUCUCAGCAACACAAACACUGAACACACAGCAGGAUCAAAGGCAUCUGCAUAGAAGUGUGCCUGCUAUGGGAGUUCCUGGCAUGAUGCAAGGAAUAAGGUGGAGGGGUUCAGAAAUUCUGUCUCCAGGCUGUGCAGCCCCUUCUCUUUCAUAGACAACUCUGUAAGGAGCUGGCAAGCCAGGUUGCUAGACAAGGACAGCAAAAGCAGUGAGCUCAUAACUUUUCACCAAGUAACAGGACAACACUGAUACCACUGACUCAUUCUGGAACUCAAUACUCAGUCUCUUGAGGACUUCUCUAACAAACUCUCUCAUAUGAAAUAUCAGUGGUACUUUGGCCAAGACAGUUGAUCUCCUGCUUGACAGGUUUGUGGAAAGGGCUGAUCAUGCAGACAAAGGACUACUCAAACAAGAGAAAGCAAGGAGAAAGCCAGAAUGAAGAUAAUCCAAGAACCUUUCACUCAUCCUCUAAAACAGUUCGCCAGAAAGAAAAAUGCUGCCUCGAUUAGAUUUCAGGCUUCUCUAUUAUGGCAAAUGGUGUAUGAGAGUCUUGUGACCAAAACCAAAACCAAAUCUGCAGUUUACCAAGUUUCAUUCAUGUAAGUCAUU
Molecule: long non-coding RNA, 790 nt
Organism: Dromaius novaehollandiae (emu)
Lineage: Eukaryota; Metazoa; Chordata; Aves; Casuariiformes; Dromaiidae
Exons: 4
Source: RefSeq, a predicted model, not a curated record